RNAcentral lists this unclassified non-coding RNA (263 nucleotides) under plant metagenome. RNAcentral's name for it is "partial contains small subunit ribosomal RNA, internal transcribed spacer 1, and 5.8S ribosomal RNA". The record is from RNAcentral.
UUUCCGUAGGUGAACCUGCGGAAGGAUCAUUAUUGUAUAACCGAGGUGCGAGGGCUGUCGCUGACCCGAAAGGUCGUGCACGCCCGAGUGCCCUCACACACAUCCACCUCACCCCUAUGUGCACCACCGCGUGGGUCCCCCUUUGGCUUGUUCGGAGGGGGGCUUACGUUUUCACACAAACUUUGUAUGCAGUGUAGAAUGUAUUUUUUGUUUUUGCGAUCACGCAAUCAAUACAACUUUCAACAACGGAUCUCUUGGCUCUG